GACCUUGUCUGAAAUAAAUAAAUAAAAUAGAAACAAUGCAGAGACAAUUAGCAAGGCCCUUGCACAAAGAUGUCAUGAAAAUUUGCAAAGCAUUCCAUAUAUUU
Small nuclear RNA from Pongo abelii (Sumatran orangutan), 104 nucleotides. NCBI's taxonomy places the organism in Eukaryota, Metazoa, Chordata, Mammalia, Primates, Hominidae. The record is from Ensembl.